Molecule: ribosomal RNA, 433 nt
Filed under: uncultured bacterium
Lineage: Bacteria
Description: partial 16S ribosomal RNA
Rfam family: Bacterial small subunit ribosomal RNA
Source: RNAcentral
AACGAACGCUGGCGGCAUGCCUAACACAUGCAAGUCGAACGAGACCUUCGGGUCUAGUGGCGCACGGGUGCGUAACGCGUGGGAACCUGCCCUUAGGUUCGGAAUAACUCCCCGAAAGGGGUGCUAAUACCGGAUAAUUUCUUCGGACCAAAGAUUUAUCGCCUUUGGAUGGGCCCGCGUUGGAUUAGCUAGUUGGUAGGGUAAAAGCCUACCAAGGCGACGAUCCAUAGCUGGUCUGAGAGGAUGAUCAGCCACACUGGGACUGAGACACGGCCCAGACUCCUACGGGAGGCAGCAGUGGGGAAUAUUGGAAAAUGGGCGAAAGCAUGAUCCAGCAAUGCCGCGUGAGUGAUGAAGGCCUUAGGGUUGUAAAGCUCUUUUACCCGGGAUGAUAAUGACAGUACCGGGAGAAUAAGCUCCGGCUAACUCCGUG